Molecule: transfer RNA, 509 nt
Filed under: Xanthomonas campestris
Lineage: Bacteria; Pseudomonadati; Pseudomonadota; Gammaproteobacteria; Lysobacterales; Lysobacteraceae
Rfam family: tRNA (bases 208-281)
Source: RNAcentral
GGCUGGAUCACCUCCUUUUGAGCAUGACGUUAUUCGUCCUGUCGGGCGUCCUCACAAAUUACCUGCAUUCAGAGAUUCAUACCGGCACAGGUCGGUAUGCGAAGUCCCUUUUGGGGCCUUAGCUCAGCUGGGAGAGCACCUGCUUUGCAAGCAGGGGGUCGUCGGUUCGAUCCCGACAGGCUCCACCAUAUUGAGUGAAAAGACUUCGGGUCUGUAGCUCAGGUGGUUAGAGCGCACCCCUGAUAAGGGUGAGGUCGGUAGUUCGAGUCUACCCAGACCCACCACUCUGAAUGUAGUGCACACUUAAGAAUUUAUAUGGAUCAGCGUUGAGGCUGAGACAUGUUCUUUUAUAACUUGUGACGUAGCGAGCGUUUGAGAUAUCUAUCUAAACGUGUCGUUGAGGCUAAGGCGGGGACUUCGAGUCCCUAAAUAAUUGAGUCGUAUGUUCGCGUUGGUGGCUUUGUACCCCACACAACACGUACAUGUGCUCCAGGCAACUUGGGGUUAUA